RNAcentral lists this unclassified non-coding RNA (1217 nucleotides) under Pocillopora damicornis (cauliflower coral). RNAcentral describes it as "uncharacterized LOC113685783, transcript variant X3". The record is from RNAcentral. Lineage: Eukaryota; Metazoa; Cnidaria; Anthozoa; Scleractinia; Pocilloporidae.
CAUGCUUGUUGUCACGUUACCUUUGUGUUACAAUGGUCGUUACGUAAUGUAUUUAAUGCCAGCAUUUUCAUAGACGUGAACGUGAAAAAUUAUCAUUUGAGUUCAACUUCAACGAAGAUAUACCAAUUUGUGCAUAACUAAACUCGUUGUCGUAUCUUACAUUCAACUCUGCAUGUCGACCGGUUUCAAUUCACAUCUUCGAGCUCGUAACACAAAGAUGAACAGCCGUUGUAAAACGUUGACAAGCAGACGUUUCAAGCGUCGAAGUAUCAGCUUUCUGUAUUCAAGAUCAUGGAAAAAGAGAUUGUAUCAUUCUGCGGAGAAACAGCUUUCAAAGAUCAAACUAAGGGACUACCGUCUCAUAUACAACUGGUAGAACAUCCACCACAGCAGAAACCACCAUACCAACUGCUUCUACUACUGCUAAAAUAGCAUCCGCCGCUACCACAGAAUCUAUCACAGCGGAAACCACUAAAUCAACAAAGAACUCUGUGACUACCGUCUCCUAUACCACUACUAGAACAUCCACCACUGCAGAAACCACCACGCCCGCUGAUGUUGACAUCAUCACAACCGAGGACUAUGUGACUACCAUCUCCUAUACCACUACCAGAACAUCCACCACUGCAGAAACCACCACGCCCGCUGAUGUUGACAUUAUGACAACCGAGGACUAUGGAAAACAACAACUCUAUCACUAUGCUGUCUAUGCUCUCGCCGGAAUUGUUUUGGUCUUCCUCAUCAUAAUUGGCGCACUAAUAAGACGGUUAAGACAAGCUGUGAGGACCGGUAGAAACAUUGUUACAGACCAUGAUAUCCCUGUCUCACCUGCUGAACGGCAAGAGCCAGAGUCUGGUCACUAUAUGGAACUCAGGCCUCCUCAAAUGCAGUCACCUGAACCUACGUAUGAGCCAUUGCAAAGCAGAUACUCGACUCAUUAUUACAGCAAUGUAGGAUUUGUGGGGGAAAAAUCAGGGAAUGAUGAUGUUAGAGUUUAUGAAAAUGUUGAGUCAGGUGGUAUCGUCUGAAAUUAAAGUUUAGAUUUUACAUCAAAUUUUCCAACACAAAUUUAAGUGAUCCUACAAUCUUAUUGGUUCGUGGUGUGGGUGAACUUCUCUAAUUUGUCCCAAUAACUAGGAAACAAACGUUAUCUUGAUAUAGUUGGGUGCAAUGUCUUUAUUCGAAAGAAAAAUAAAGGAAAUUGAUGAUGAAGUCAA